RNAcentral lists this ribosomal RNA (2220 nucleotides) under Triticum aestivum (bread wheat). RNAcentral describes it as "partial small subunit ribosomal RNA". The record is from RNAcentral. Lineage: Eukaryota; Viridiplantae; Streptophyta; Magnoliopsida; Poales; Poaceae.
AUGGUGGAGAGCCGCAGCACCAUCGCCUUCUUCGGGACCUUCAGGCCAGCGGUGGCGCUGGACCUCUUCUCAGUCCCAGUGAACCCGACGACAUCGUCUGCACCGGACGAGCAGCGCCUCACCGACGGUAAGUCGUACAACCAAAACGGCCAGGCCAUCACGCCCGCGGCUCUCAAGGAGCUCCUGGCCAGGAACAGCCCCGCGCUGGCCGGCGUUGCCACUCCGGAUGACGUGGACAAGGGCCGUGUCACCGGCAUCGUCUUUGUCUCCGAGAGGGACAACGGCCUGGAGACGCUCCAUGUGGCCCUGUGCGCCGCAGGCAAGACCACGGUGGUGUCGCUUGCCGACAUCUACGGCACCGACACCUUCGGUGGGGUCCGAAUGGAGGACAGCGGCUGCUUGGCCGGUGGCUUCGAGGUGGGCGGUCGCACCGUCGGGCACUCGCUGGUGUACGUGUCCACCAAGCAGCCGGCGGCGGCACGGCGCACUCCGUGGACCGUGGUGUACAAGACCAACCUUGCCGACGGCAGGACGGAGCGCCUCACUCCGCCGGAUCAAUACGACCUGAACCCGGCCGUGUCGCCGUCCGGGAAGAGGGUGGCGGUGGCCAACUUCCGGUUCAACCAGUGGACCGGCGAGAUCGGCCGACUCAAGACGGAUAUCGUGGUGAUGAACGUGGACCGGCAGGCGCAGGGUGGGCUUGGGCGCAGCGUCCUCAUCAAGGACGGCGGGUGGCCGACGUGGGGCAGCGACACCGUCAUCUUCUUCCACCGAGGGGUGGAUACCAUAGACAAAGCCAGUGGGAGGACCAAUACUGCCUGGGGCGUGUACCGGUACGACCUCACCACCAAGGACGACCCCGUCAAGGUGACCCCUGACGGCAUCCAAGCCAUGACUCCGGCGGCCAUCAGCGAGACCAAGGUGGCGGUGGCCGUCACCCGGGAGGGUACCCGGAUAGCGAUAGCGGUCGUGGAUCGCGAUAAAAAGGAACAGUACCGCCACAUCGAGAUCUAUGACUAUGAGGUCGGUAAGCUUGCCAGCCCGGUGAUAAUCACCCAUAGCACGGUGCUCAAUGGGUUUGCAGAUCACUACAGCCCGUUCGUGCUAGACGGGGGCACCCGUGUCGGUUUCCACCGCUGCAUAACCGACAAGGAGAAUACUGCCGCUCCGGAGAACUUCAGCAAGCUGCAGAGCCCGCCGACGCAAAAGGACGUCGGGAUCUACCGGAUGGCCGGCGUGUUCCCGAGCAUCAACAAGGCGGGCACCAAGAUCACCUACGUGGACAACGAGUUCAAAACCGUGUGGGUCGCUGACGAAAAGCACGGGCCGCGAGAAGCCCAUAAGAACAAGGACAGCAACAAAAUCUUGUCCACUACGUGGAACCAAGGCACGGACAAGGACACGGGCGAGGAAAAGGACAUCGUCUACUUCUGCGUGGGCACGGCCUUCAGCACCGACUGCAUAGAGAUCUGUGCCCUCGAGGGUGCCUCCGAGCUAGAGCACAAUGACAGGAGAAUGAAGACCCUCACCAACGGCAAGUACAACAACGCCUUCCCGUCGAGCAACAAGGAUGGGACCAAGUUGGUGUUCCGGUCGACGCGCAACAGAAUGGGUAAGCCUGAGGACGUCAAGUACAAGAACCUCUACAUCAUGGAGGACGCGGACGAAGGGGAGUGGGGUUCAGGCACGGUGACGCAGCUCACCGACGGGCCCUGGACCGACAGCCACUGCACCUGGUCGCCCACCGAUGACUGGAUCGUCUUCUCCUCCUCCCGCGACAGGGCGCCCGGCGCGCCGGACAGGGACAUCCUCGAUGCCGGCUUUUUCUCUAUCUUCCUCGUCCUAGCCACCGACCCCAGUGUGUUGGUGCGGGUCAUGCACAGCGCCGACUCCCUGGCCGGCCAUGUCUGUCACCCCGUCUUCAGCCCCUUCAAGGACAGCAUCGUCGUCACCUCCGACAUCGCCGGCGUCUCCGCCGACCCGGUCUCUUUGCCCAUCUUCAUCCACUCCGUCAGGCCCUACGGUGACAUCUUCACCAUCAACCUCCGCGACAAAAAUGACAUCAUGAAGAACAAGGAUAUCAUGGAGUUCGACCGCAUCACGCACACCCGCUACGAGUACUCUACGCCCACCUGGACCAAGGAUUUGGGUGACGACCUCAACAACAAGUGGAAAACCGCCGGUAGAGGUGCGGCGGAGUGCCCCGCCGGGCGGUGCUAG